CUGGCACUGCAGGGGCUGGGAGGGAUUUUCCAGCCCCAGGAUUUGGGGAUUUGGGGACUCCCUGUGUGGGAUCCGAGGGAUGCUGGCCAUGGGGAGCUGGUGCCAUCUCUGCCGCUGCGCGUGGCAGCUCUGAGGGUUUUGCAGGAGGGACGAGGCAGCAAUGAGGAGCCUUCAGCACUCCAGGCGCUUCGUUCAAUGGGGUUCAGCUCCCUCAGUUGUUCAGGUUUUGCUGCUGUUAGAACGCAGACAAGCCACCAAAAUUAGUAAAGUGUAAAUUAGGUUGUUAGAACGUAGAUAAAUAGACUUUUGGGAAUGUUUGUGAUAAGGGACACGUGGCCAGGAUGGAGGAUUUGGGGUAUGGAUACCUCUUCCUCCUCCUUCUCCGUGCCACCCAUGCUGGGUGACACGCUGGCACUUUUAGAUUGGAUGGGGUCAGAGCUGGACCGUGUAACAAGAUUGUAUUGUAUCGGAAAAUUGUUAUAAACAUUUAGUAGGUAAUUUAGAUUAUAUAAGAUCAGCCCUGCCUUCACCAGGCAGAUUCCAUCCUGGGUGCCCGGCUGAGGAGAUCGCUGCGAGCCGGGCAAAGAGUUCCUGAGACAAGAAACAACGAACAGCCCGUGAAGGCUCUGAAAACCACCUCCUGCAAUCUCUCUUCGGCUGCUUUGGGAAAAACCAGGAUUUAAACACCGCAUGUCCUUGUGAGGAGAUCUCGGGUCUAAGGAGAAACCUCGGGCCGGGACAGUGGUGCCCAGGGAGGGGGAGCAGCCCGGCCAGGGGGUGUGUGGAGGGGGAGGCGCUGCGGGUUCCUCAUCCAGCGGGGUGUGACCAAAGCUGCCCCCAGCAACCCCCGACUGCCGGAGGGGCCUUUGGGGGGCUCGGGCAGAGCCAUGGGCACAGCCUGGGGGGCGCCUGUUCGGGGGAAGGGGGGCAAAGCACAGCUCACCCACCGCUCUGUGCCGCUGAUCGCCCCAAAACCGGGGUACCAAUCACUGCAGGGGUACAACCGCCCCAAAACCGGGGUACCAAUCACUGUGGAUGUUACAGUCACCCCAAAACCGGGGUACCAAUCACUGUGAGUGUUAUAACCACCCCAAACCCGGGUUACCAAUCACUGCAGGGGUACAACCACCCCAAACCCGAGGUACCAAUCACUGCAGGGGUUACAAUCACCCCAAAACAUCCCUAUCGCUGUCCCAUCCCUGUCCCUGUUCCUGCUCUUGUCCCUGUCCACUUCCUGUCCUCGUCCUUCUGCCAUCCUCAUCCCCUUCCCCGUCCCUGUCCCUGUCCCCUCCCUGUCCCCUCCCUGUCCCCUCCCUGUCCGCUCCCUGUCCCUGCCCCCCCCCCCCCCCCCCCCCCCCCCCCCCCCCCCCCCCCCCCCCCCCCCCCCCCCCCCCCCCCCCCCCCCCCCCCCCCCCCCCCCCCCCC
Molecule: long non-coding RNA, 1425 nt
Filed under: Ficedula albicollis (Collared flycatcher)
Lineage: Eukaryota; Metazoa; Chordata; Aves; Passeriformes; Muscicapidae
Description: lncRNA (ENSFALG00000028318.1)
Source: RNAcentral